GAUGAACGCUGGCGGCGUGCCUAAUACAUGCAAGUCGAGCGAACGGACGAGAAGCUUGCUUCUCUGAUGUUAGCGGCGGACGGGUGAGUAACACGUGGAUAACCUACCUAUAAGACUGGGAUAACUUCGGGAAACCGGAGCUAAUACCGGAUAAUAUUUUGAACCGCAUGGUUCAAAAGUGAAAGACGGUCUUGCUGUCACUUAUAGAUGGAUCCGCGCUGCAUUAGCUAGUUGGUAAGGUAACGGCUUACCAAGGCAACGAUGCAUAGCCGACCUGAGAGGGUGAUCGGCCACACUGGAACUGAGACACGGUCCAGACUCCUACGGGAGGCAGCAGUAGGGAAUCUUCCGCAAUGGGCGAAAGCCUGACGGAGCAACGCCGCGUGAGUGAUGAAGGUCUUCGGAUCGUAAAACUCUGUUAUUAGGGAAGAACAUAUGUGUAAGUAACUGUGCACAUCUUGACGGUACCUAAUCAGAAAGCCACGGCUAACUACGUGCCAGCAGCCGCGGUAAUACGUAGGUGGCAAGCGUUAUCCGGAAUUAUUGGGCGUAAAGCGCGCAUAGGCGGUUUUUUAAGUCUGAUGUGAAAGCCCACGGCUCAACCGUGGAGGGUCAUUGGAAACUGGAAAACUUGAGUGCAGAAGAGGAAAGUGGAAUUCCAUGUGUAGCGGUGAAAUGCGCAGAGAUAUGGAGGAACACCAGUGGCGAAGGCGACUUUCUGGUCUGUAACUGACGCUGAUGUGCGAAAGCGUGGGGAUCAAACAGGAUUAGAUACCCUGGUAGUCCACGCCGUAAACGAUGAGUGCUAAGUGUUAGGGGGUUUCCGCCCCUUAGUGCUGCAGCUAACGCAUUAAGCACUCCGCCUGGGGAGUACGACCGCAAGGUUGAAACUCAAAGGAAUUGACGGGGACCCGCACAAGCGGUGGAGCAUGUGGUUUAAUUCGAAGCAACGCGAAGAACCUUACCAAAUCUUGACAUCCUUUGACAACUCUAGAGAUAGAGCCUUCCCCUUCGGGGGGGCAAAGUGACAGGUGGUGCAUGGUUGUCGUCAGCUCGUGUCGUGAGAUGUUGGGUUAAGUCCCGCAACGAGCGCAACCCUUAAGCUUAGUUGCCAUCAUUAAGUUGGGCACUCUAAGUUGACUGCCGGUGACAAACCGGAGGAAGGUGGGGAUGACGUCAAAUCAUCAUGCCCCUUAUGAUUUGGGCUACACACGUGCUACAAUGGACAAUACAAAGGGCAGCGAAACCGCGAGGUCAAGCAAAUCCCAUAAAGUUGUUCUCAGUUCGGAUUGUAGUCUGCAACUCGACUACAUGAAGCUGGAAUCGCUAGUAAUCGUAGAUCAGCAUGCUACGGUGAAUACGUUCCCGGGUCU
Molecule: ribosomal RNA, 1373 nt
Filed under: uncultured bacterium
Lineage: Bacteria
Description: bacterial SSU rRNA
Rfam family: Bacterial small subunit ribosomal RNA
Source: RNAcentral